RNAcentral lists this transfer RNA (77 nucleotides) under Subdoligranulum sp. RNAcentral describes it as "tRNA-Ile". It matches the Rfam family "tRNA". Rfam says of the family: Transfer RNA (tRNA) molecules are approximately 80 nucleotides in length. Their secondary structure includes four short double-helical elements and three loops (D, anti-codon, and T loops). The record is from RNAcentral. Lineage: Bacteria; Bacillati; Bacillota; Clostridia; Eubacteriales; Oscillospiraceae.
GGGGUCUUAGCUCAGUUGGUUAGAGCAGCCGGCUCAUACCCGGCCGGUCCAGGGUUCGAGCCCCUGAGACCCCACCA